CUGAAUUGAAUUAGAAAAAACAUGAGGAAGUAGAAGGAUAAAGCAUGACUGGGUGGGUGAAUGGAUUUUCAGAGCUGUAUGUUAUCUGACUCUGACAAGCUGAUGGUGUGUCAUAACAGUUAAAUUGAUAUUUAGGUAGUUGGUUGUUGGACUUGAAAACACAAAGCUUACAGAGGCACUAAGAGCUCUCAACUGCCUUGGAACAAAAAGGUGCACAGAGCAGUAAGUAAUUUUGGCAUUUCCAAACAUCUUCACAUUAUAACAAAAGGAUAUUUGUGAGUAUAAUACCUAUUUAAAAAAAAAAAAUAAUUCUCUAGCAGUCUAUUGCAGUUGGUGGAUUCAGCGUGAGUAAGCUGGAACAUCUUGCACAUGCCAUUCGUAUGAAAAUCUGUGAGCACUUAAUAUAGCUUGCACAACUUAAAUUGCCAAGUGAUGCAAAGCAGAUGAGGCCCAGAAUGAUUACAGGAUCCCAGAUUGAGGUAUUGGAGUGAUUAAAAAAAAAAUAAUCUCUUUAGACCUACUGCAUAUCUUCAAGGCAAGAAAUACAAACCCACAACAAGAAGUUUUGAACUUGUAAGACAGGCAAAUGGGCACAUAGCUUUCUGGCUGAAAUGUGUAAAACAUGCUAUUGGAGGAUUGAGGAAAGAUGUUUUAGUUUACAUUUGCAGUCUUAUGUAUGAAAAACAGUUUCCAGACCAAAACUGGGUGAAUGUAUUUUUGGGGGAGGUAUUUAUCAGUUAAUAAUGAACAGAAGGAGCAGGCUGAUAAAAAGACAAGUACAGACUGCCUCUGCCUCAGGGAGAACAAACCUGGUUAACAGUUCCAGACAGAAACUCCUCAAGAAGGGGCUGUGGAUGGUUUCAGACUUUUUUUUUGGUGUGUGUAGGAAUAGUGAGGCACAGAGACUUCAGUGUUCCGUGGCCAUCUGUGGAAAACAAGGGAUGAAGCCCCUUUCCCAGGUGCAGCAGUGGGAGAUACAGCAUGGUUCUUGGUCAGGAGCUGGUAUGUCUGUCACAAUGGUGACAAGAUUAAAUUUGAUCCAAAUUUAAUGCAAGCAUGAAAUUCUGCUCUCAGGAAACAUGAGAUUUGUAAAUGAAUUAUGGGGAAUUUUAAUAGUUAUGCAGCUGGAAUAGCAAUGUCUGUGUUUGGACCACAAAAUGAAUGGAUAUCUGGCAACGUGAUGCAGUUACAAAAGAGGCAAGUGUUACUCUGUGAAAUGUGGGGAAAUAAUUGGUCUACACAACUAAAUAAAUGUCACUCAUGUCUCA
This 1268-nucleotide long non-coding RNA is filed under the name Zonotrichia albicollis (white-throated sparrow). Its description in RNAcentral is "lncRNA (ENSZALG00000017137.1)". The record is from RNAcentral. Lineage: Eukaryota; Metazoa; Chordata; Aves; Passeriformes; Passerellidae.